RNAcentral lists this ribosomal RNA (254 nucleotides) under uncultured bacterium. Its description in RNAcentral is "partial 16S ribosomal RNA". It matches the Rfam family "Bacterial small subunit ribosomal RNA", at positions 524 to 776 of the family's 1533-position model. The record is from RNAcentral.
UACGUAGGGGGCAAGCGUUGUCCGGAUUCAUUGGGCGUAAAGAACUCGUAGGCGGUUUGGCAAGUCGGGUGUGAAAACUCCGGGCUCAACUCGGAGACGCCACUCGAUACUGCCAUGACUCGAGUCCGGUAGGGGAGUGCGGAAUUCCUGGUGUAGCGGUGAAAUGCGCAGAUAUCAGGAGGAACACCGAUGGCGAAGGCAGGCCUCUGGGCCGAUACUGACGCUGAGGAGCGAAAGCGUGGGGAGCGAACAGG